Long non-coding RNA from Myotis brandtii (Brandt's bat), 126 nucleotides. RefSeq lists it as uncharacterized. The transcript has 2 exons. Lineage: Eukaryota; Metazoa; Chordata; Mammalia; Chiroptera; Vespertilionidae. The record is from RefSeq and is a predicted model, not a curated record.
GAAUGCCCACUUUCACCACUCCUGUUUGACAUAGUACUGGAAGUCCUAGCCACAGCAAACCAACAAGAAGAAAACAUAAAAGGCAUCCAAAUUGGAAAGGAGGAAAUAAAACUCUCAUUAUUCACA